UACGUAGGGGGCAAGCGUUGUCCGGAAUCAUUGGGCGUAAAGAGCGUGUAGGCGGCUUGGUAAGUCCGCUGUGAAAGUCCAGGGCUCAACCCUGGAAUGCCGGUGGAAACUGUCAAGCUUGAGUCCGGAAGAGGCGAGUGGAAUUCCUGGUGUAGCGGUGAAAUGCGCAGAUAUCAGGAGGAACACCGAUGGCGAAGGCAGUGGGCUGGGCCGGCACUGACGCUGAGGAGCGAAAGCGUGGGGAGCGAACAGG
This 253-nucleotide ribosomal RNA is filed under the name uncultured bacterium. RNAcentral's name for it is "partial 16S ribosomal RNA". It matches the Rfam family "Bacterial small subunit ribosomal RNA", at positions 524 to 776 of the family's 1533-position model. The record is from RNAcentral.